UACGGAGGAUGCGAGCGUUAUCCGGAUUUAUUGGGUUUAAAGGGUGCGUAGGCGGCUUUUUAAGUCAGCGGUGAAGUUUUGCAGCUUAACUGUAACAGUGCCGUUGGUACUGGGGAGCUAGGAUUUGGUUGCUGUGGGUGGAAUGUGUGGUGUAGCGGUGAAAUGCUUAGAGAUCACACAGAAUAUCGAUUGCGAAGGCAGCUCACAAAGCCAAGAUUGACGCUGAGGCACGAAAGUGUGGGGAUCAAACAGGAUUAGAUA
RNAcentral lists this ribosomal RNA (261 nucleotides) under uncultured prokaryote. RNAcentral describes it as "partial 16S ribosomal RNA". It matches the Rfam family "Bacterial small subunit ribosomal RNA", at positions 524 to 784 of the family's 1533-position model. The record is from RNAcentral.